Molecule: ribosomal RNA, 453 nt
Filed under: uncultured bacterium
Lineage: Bacteria
Description: partial 16S ribosomal RNA
Rfam family: Bacterial small subunit ribosomal RNA
Source: RNAcentral
AACGAACGCUGGCGGCAUGCCUAACACAUGCAAGUCGAACGCCUGUAGCAAUACAGGAGUGGCAGACGGGUGAGUAACACGUGGGAAUCUACCCAGUAGCUCGGAAUAACCGCGGGAAACUGCGGCUAAUACCGGAUACGCCCCGAGGGGGAAAGGAGCAAUCCUCUAUUGGAGGAGCCCGCGUCUGAUUAGCUAGUUGGUGAGGUAACGGCUCACCAAGGCGACGAUCAGUAGCUGGUUUGAGAGAACGACCAGCCACACUGGGACUGAGACACGGCCCAGACUCCUACGGGAGGCAGCAGUGGGGAAUAUUGGACAAUGGGGGAAACCCUGAUCCAGCAAUGCCGCGUGGGUGAUGAAGGCCUUCGGGUUGUAAAGCCCUUUUGUCGGGGACGAUGAUGACGGUACCCGACGAAUAAGCUCCGGCUAACUUCGUGCCAGCCGCCGCAGUAA